Melozone crissalis (California towhee) is the source of this 224-nucleotide long non-coding RNA. RefSeq lists it as uncharacterized. NCBI's taxonomy places the organism in Eukaryota, Metazoa, Chordata, Aves, Passeriformes, Passerellidae. The transcript is spliced from 3 exons. The record is from RefSeq and is a predicted model, not a curated record.
CAGUGAUCUGGUCCCUGAGCUCGCUGCCCUUCGACUGCACCCAGGCACUGCCCGUGCCCAAACCCAUUGGGGGUGUUGUGAUCUUCGCUGUGAACUCGCUGCUGUACCUGAACCCGAGCGUGCCCCCGUACGGGGUGGCCCUGAACAGCCUCACCUGCGGCACCACCGUGUUCCCGCUCCGGGUCCAGGAGGGCGUGAGGAUGACUCUGGACUGUGCCCAGGCC